Molecule: transfer RNA, 76 nt
Filed under: Vreelandella boliviensis
Lineage: Bacteria; Pseudomonadati; Pseudomonadota; Gammaproteobacteria; Oceanospirillales; Halomonadaceae
Description: tRNA-Met
Rfam family: tRNA
About the family: Transfer RNA (tRNA) molecules are approximately 80 nucleotides in length.
Source: RNAcentral
AGCGGUUGUAGACCACCGACAGGUCGCCAGUCUCAUAAGCUGGAGAUAGCGGGUUUGACUCCCGCCGACGCUACCA